CUGCAGUGAUGAUGUAGAAUGUUGUGACUUGGUAUUGUCUGGAUGUGGUUGUUUACAUAGGCCAUGACUCUGACCAAGGCAGGAUCACAUGAAUCUUCUCUCUGAGCAG
Small nucleolar RNA from Haliotis rufescens (red abalone), 109 nucleotides. RefSeq annotates it as Z30 small nucleolar RNA. The transcript has a single exon. NCBI's taxonomy places the organism in Eukaryota, Metazoa, Mollusca, Gastropoda, Lepetellida, Haliotidae. The record is from RefSeq and is a predicted model, not a curated record.